RNAcentral lists this ribosomal RNA (867 nucleotides) under uncultured Peptococcaceae bacterium. RNAcentral describes it as "bacterial SSU rRNA". It matches the Rfam family "Bacterial small subunit ribosomal RNA", at positions 163 to 1038 of the family's 1533-position model. Lineage: Bacteria; Bacillati; Bacillota; Clostridia; Eubacteriales; Peptococcaceae. The record is from RNAcentral.
CUAAUACCGGAUACGUUCAGCUGGCUGCAUGGGCAGCUGAGGAAAGGAGCAAUCCGCUAAAGGAUGGGUCCGCGUCCCAUUAGCUUGUUGGUAGGGUAACGGCCUACCAAGGCGACGAUGGGUAGCCGGCCUGAGAGGGCGACCGGCCACACUGGAACUGAGACACGGUCCAGACUCCUACGGGAGGCAGCAGUGGGGAAUCUUCCGCAAUGGGCGCAAGCCUGACGGAGCAACGCCGCGUGAGUGACGAAGGUCUUCGGAUUGUAAAACUCUGUCCAGAGGGAAGAAGGAAGUGACGGUACCUCUGGAGGAAGCCCCGGCUAACUACGUGCCAGCAGCCGCGGUAAAACGUAGGGGGCGAGCGUUGUCCGGAAUUACUGGGCGUAAAGGGCGUGUAGGCGGCUUGGUAAGUCAGUCGUGAAACCUACCGGCUCAACCGGUAGCUGGCGAUUGAAACUGCCGGGCUUGAGUGCAGUAGAGGGGAGUGGAAUUCCCAGUGUAGCGGUGAAAUGCGUAGAUAUUGGGAGGAACACCAGUGGCGAAAGCGGCUCCCUGGCCUGUAACUGACGCUGAGGCGCGAAAGCGUGGGUAGCAAACAGGAUUAGAUACCCUGGUAGUCCACGCCGUAAACGAUGGGUGCUAGGUGUUGGGGGUAUCGACCCCUCCAGUGCCGCAGUUAACGCAAUAAGCACCCCGCCUGGGGAGUACGGCCGCAAGGCUGAAACUCAAAGGAAUUGACGGGGGCCCGCACAAGCGGUGGAGUAUGUGGUUUAAUUCGACGCAACGCGAAGAACCUUACCAGGUCUUGACAUCCCCUGCCCGCUGUGGAAACACAGUUUUUCACCUUCGGGUGAACAGGGAGACAGA